Molecule: ribosomal RNA, 508 nt
Filed under: uncultured bacterium
Lineage: Bacteria
Description: bacterial SSU rRNA
Rfam family: Bacterial small subunit ribosomal RNA
Source: RNAcentral
GCUGGCGGCGUGCUUAACACAUGCAAGUCGAACGCGAAAGGGACUUCGGUCCUGAGUAAAGUGGCGCACGGGUGAGUAACGCGUAGAUAACCUGUCUUCAUGUCUGGAAUAAUACGCCGAAAGGGGUACUAAUACCGGAUAUUCUUGCUUUUUCCAUAAGUUAUGCAAAGCAAAGGUGGCCUCUGCAUAUGCUACUGCAUGAAGAGGGGUCUGCGUACCAGUUAGCUAGUAGGUGGGGUAAUGGCCUACCUAGGCGACGAUGGUUAGCGGGUCUGAGAGGAUGAUCCGCCACACUGGCACUGGAACACGGGCCAGACUCCUACGGGAGGCAGCAGUGAGGAAUAUUGCGCAAUGGGGGAAACCCUGACGCAGCGACGCCGCGUGAAGUGAGGAAGGCCUUCGGGUCGUAAAGCUCUGUCAAGAGGAAAGAAGUGUACAAUGGCUAAUACCUGUUGUAUUUGACGGUACCUCUAAAGGAAGCACCGGCUAACUCCGUGCCAGCCGCCGC